This 348-nucleotide ribosomal RNA is filed under the name uncultured Chloroflexota bacterium. RNAcentral's name for it is "bacterial SSU rRNA". It matches the Rfam family "Bacterial small subunit ribosomal RNA", at positions 1016 to 1382 of the family's 1533-position model. The record is from RNAcentral. Lineage: Bacteria; Bacillati; Chloroflexota.
UUGAGUCAGGAGCCGUCACAGGUGCUGCAUGGCUGUCGGUCAGCUCGUGCCGUGAGGUGUAUGGUUAAGUCCUGCAACGAGCGCAACCCUCGUCGCUAGUUGAUUUCUCUAGCGAGACUGCCCCGCAAACGGGAGGAAGGUGGGGAUGACGUCAAGUCAGCAUGGCCUUUAUAUCUUGGGCUACACACACGCUACAAUGGAUGGCACAAUAGGUUGCAACAGCGCGAGCUGAAGCUAAUCCCCAAAGCCAUCCUCAGUACAGAUUGCAGGCUGAAACCCGCCUGCAUGAAGUCGGAGUUGCUAGUAACCGCAAAUCAGCAUGUUGCGGUGAAUACGUUCUCGGGCCUU